CCCUUAGACACUCUAGGCGGCACGCGCGCUACAAUGGGUGGAAGACCGUGUUACUGCCUUCGAAAGAAGGGGUGAAUCACGAAUUCUUACCCGUGAAUGGGAUAGUUUGUUGCAAUUUUCGGACUUGAACUAGGAAUCCCUUGUAAGCAUGCUCAAGAAUAGCGUGUUGAAUACGUCCCUGCCGUUUGUACACACCGCCCGUCGUUUCUUCCGACUGAUACUCAUUGUGAGUUGCAAGGACCCUUUAUUGGGAAAUUGCUGCAAAUGCUUUGUAUUGGAGGAAGAAAAAGUCGUAACA
RNAcentral lists this ribosomal RNA (298 nucleotides) under uncultured eukaryote. RNAcentral's name for it is "partial 18S ribosomal RNA". It matches the Rfam family "Eukaryotic small subunit ribosomal RNA", at positions 1470 to 1796 of the family's 1831-position model. The record is from RNAcentral.